This is a long non-coding RNA of Oncorhynchus tshawytscha (Chinook salmon), 1472 nucleotides long. NCBI's taxonomy places the organism in Eukaryota, Metazoa, Chordata, Actinopteri, Salmoniformes, Salmonidae. The record is from Ensembl.
GGAGCUUUUUGUUGGAGAAGCUUUGAAACUCUGAGAUCUUCUGCAGUAUGACGUUGUAUUGGGAGUCUCUGUCUCCAGACAAUUCUGUGGCAUCACUCUGCAGUGUCGCAAACCUGUUCAUAUGAUCAACAUUUUAUUAUUUUACAUUUCUGAUUCUGUUCAACUUUCUAACACGAACUGAGGAUGAAGGAAAGCGUUUCAAGCCACUUGAACGUGUAUUGAGUUACACCACACAAUGUUUAUAUGAGAGAGGCGAGAAGGGGCCUUACCAGAGACCAGUGGUGGAUUUGGGCUCCUUCAGCCCACUCUUCACAGAGAUAAGGAGUGAGGACAGACCAGCGUCGGACUUUGAGGCCAUUAGAGCAUUGAAAAGAGUUCUCAUCCUCUCCUCUCGGUUCCUGAGGACAGAGAAUGGGACUACAAUGAGGACAUCUUGAUGACAAAAUUGAUGGUGUUUGUACUUCCUGUUAUUGGACCGAGAAUAUGGGACCGAGAACCUACAGAUUGCGCCUCUAAUGAUUUACUUCAACAGGCGUGUUCCUGUGUGGCUCAGUCGAUCGAGCUCGGGUUCGAUUCCCGCUGGGGACACCCAUACGUAAAAUGUAUGCAUGACUGUAAAUUGCUUAAAGAACCUUCUUCACAUCCCGGUAAUGCUCCUUGGCUCUCUCCAGCAUGCCUGACUGGUCUACACCAGGCCUAGGGACGCUGUCGGAAAAAGGCAAAACGAGGUGAGUAUAGAAGCAAAAAUGAGAUACUGUAUACACAACAUACUGUAUACACAACAUACUGUAUACACAACAUACUGUAUACACAACAAUUUAUUUAUCUAAUGUAGAAUUCAUUGCCAUUCCUAGAACAACAUAUCAUUUUGGUAUUUCAAAGGAUUUGUACUGAAGUGAUGUGUUUAAUGGCAACACAUGAACACAGCCUGGCCAAGGGUGGAAUGUAGUUGGUGAGGUAAAAAAAUCCCACAAUCCUUCAGGGAUUCAUGCUGUGGCAGAGCCCAAAAGCCCACAAUCCUUCAGGGAUUCAUGCUGUGGCAGAGCCCAAAAGCCCACAAUCCUUCAGGGAUUCAUGCUGUGGCAGAGCCCAAAAGCCCACAAUCCUUCAGGGAUUCAUGCUGUGGCAGAGCCCAAAAUCCCACAAUCCUUCAGGGAUUCAUGCUGUGGCAGAGCCCAAAAGCCCACAAUCCUUCAGGGAUUCAUGCUGUGGCAGAGCCCAAAUGCCCACAAUCCUUCAGGGGUUUAUGCUGUGGCAGAGUCCAAAUGCCCACAAUCCUUCAGGGUUUAUGCUGUGGCAGAGCCCAAAAGCCCACAACCAACAAUGACACCAGUGGCGCUGUGCUUUCAGUGUUGUUUCAGUGUUGUUUCAGUGUAUUUCCUUAGCCUUUAGUAUAGGCAAAUAAUCACACAAUGAAGUGUUAAAGUUACAAUGUGUCCAAGUGGGAACAACAUAGGACAUGAUGUGUGUGU